AACGCUGCGCGGCGUGCUUAACACAUGCAAGUCGAGCGGUAAGGCCCUUUCGGGGGUACACGAGCGGCGAACGGGUGAGUAACACGUGGGCGACCUGCCCUCAGCUCUGGGAUAAGCCUGGGAAACUGGGUCUAAUACCGGAUAUGACCUUUCCUCAGCAUGGGGUUGGGUGGAAAGUUUUUUCGGCUGGGGAUGGGCCCGCGGCCUAUCAGCUUGUUGGUGGGGUGAUGGCCUACCAAGGCGACACGGGUAGCCGGCCUGAGAGGGCGACCGGCCACACUGGGACUGAGACACGGCCCAGACUCCUACGGGAGGCAGCAGUGGGGAAUAUUGCGCAAUGGGCGGAAGCCUGACGCAGCGACCCGCGUGGGGGAUGACGCGGCCUUCGGGUUGUAAACCUACUUUCGACCCUGACGAAGCGUGAGUUGACGGUAGGGUGUAGAAGAAGCACCGGCCAACUACGUG
RNAcentral lists this ribosomal RNA (465 nucleotides) under uncultured bacterium. Its description in RNAcentral is "bacterial SSU rRNA". It matches the Rfam family "Bacterial small subunit ribosomal RNA", at positions 32 to 507 of the family's 1533-position model. The record is from RNAcentral.